Molecule: ribosomal RNA, 408 nt
Filed under: uncultured bacterium
Lineage: Bacteria
Description: bacterial SSU rRNA
Rfam family: Bacterial small subunit ribosomal RNA
Source: RNAcentral
UGCCAGCAGCCGCGGUAAUACGGAGGGUGCAAGCGUUAAUCGGAAUUACUGGGCGUAAAGCGCAUGUAGGCGGUUUGAUAAGUCGGAUGUGAAAGCCCCGGGCUUAACCUGGGAAUUGCAUUCGAAACUGUCGAGCUAGAGUGUGGAAGAGGGGAGUGGAAUUCCAGGUGUAGCGGUGAAAUGCGUAGAUAUCUGGAGGAACAUCAGUGGCGAAGGCGACUUCCUGGUCCAACACUGACGCUGAGGUGCGAAAGCGUAGGGAGCAAACAGGAUUAGAUACCCUGGUAGUCCACGCCGUAAACGAUGUCGACUUGGAGGUUGUGCCCUUGAGGCGUGGCUUCCGGAGCUAACGCGUUAAGUCGACCGCCUGGGGAGUACGGCCGCAAGGUAAAACUCAAAGAAUGACGG